AGCGAACGCUGGCGGCAGGCCUAACACAUGCAAGCCGAACGAACCUUUCGGGGUUAGUGGCGGACGGGUGAGUAACACGUGGGAACGUGCCUUUAGGUUCGGAAUAACUCAGGGAAACUUGUGCUAAUACCGAAUGUGCCCUUCGGGGGAAAGAUUUAUCGCCUUUAGAGCGGCCCGCGUCUGAUUAGCUAGUUGGUUGAGGUAAUGGCUCACCAAGGCGACGAUCAGUAGCUGGUCUGAGAGGAUGAUCAGCCACAUUGGGACUGAGACACGGCCCAAACUCCUACGGGAAGCAGCAGUGGGGAAUCUUGCGCAAUGGGCGAAAGCCUGACGCAGCCAUGCCGCGUGAAUGAUGAAGGUCUUAGGAUUGUAAAAUUCUUUCACCGGGGACGAUAAUGACGGUACCCGGAGAAGAAGCCCCGGCUAACUUCGUG
Molecule: ribosomal RNA, 434 nt
Filed under: uncultured bacterium
Lineage: Bacteria
Description: partial 16S ribosomal RNA
Rfam family: Bacterial small subunit ribosomal RNA
Source: RNAcentral